AAGGAUUUGACAAGAAAAAGUACGGGUGGCUUUUCACUUAUAUCUCUGUAGUCUUUCUGGGUUCAAGUUUGUCUUUGAAGCUCUCUCUGAUUGACUUGUAUAUCAAUAAUUAAGAGGAAAAACAAAAUAAGAACAUUCAUUCUCUCUUUCCAGGUAUGUCAAGUUACUUUUUUAAAGCUUCAUGGGCAGUUUAUUACUAGAUACAAAUGGAUUAUAGCUAGAUUGUUCACCAAAUUAAGAAAAUUGUUCCGAUUAUAGCUAGACUGUUUAUCAAAGCCUAAUUCUCUUUCCUCUCUUCUUCUUUUUUGGUACUUUUUUUUUAAUAUUUCUUGGUUUGGUUUAUUACAUGAUUAAACCUUCACUGGUCAUUACAUACAGUGUGUAUUAGAUUAUUCAAUGUAGUUUAGUUUAGCAAUUAUGAACAAAGUCUUUGAAUACCAGAAGUCUUUGAUGUUCCCUAAUAAUUUAUAUAAUUUUCUAGAAGUCUUAAUUAUUACCUGAGCAAAAGCUAAGCCAUAAGAAUAUAUGCUCAAGUUCAUUAAUAUUAGAAAAGAUGAAUAAGCUAAUGAAUUGGGGUUGCAUAACCCAACUUUGACUUAAUUUCUGUUGUUCACUAAACAUCAACCCCUGAAACAGAUUCUGGUUUUAGAUAUUAUCAUUCUAACCUUUAUGGUUUCAGACUCGACUUCAGGUGGCAAACGAAGCCAUGCUGAGUAAAGCAAUGACUCAUAGACAGUAACAUGAGGGGAGUGGAUGUCAUUUUGCUCACAGUAUCCAGAAAUCCGGGCAAAGGUUUCUUGCUUCUUGGGGUAGCCGG
This 817-nucleotide long non-coding RNA is filed under the name Prunus persica (peach). RNAcentral describes it as "long non-coding RNA (PPER_LNC003011)". Lineage: Eukaryota; Viridiplantae; Streptophyta; Magnoliopsida; Rosales; Rosaceae. The record is from RNAcentral.